Non-coding RNA from Phascolarctos cinereus (koala), 434 nucleotides. The record is from RefSeq and is a predicted model, not a curated record. NCBI's taxonomy places the organism in Eukaryota, Metazoa, Chordata, Mammalia, Diprotodontia, Phascolarctidae.
GUAACAUGCAAGGGAGGAGCCUGGCUUUCCACUUUUUCACAUGGGCUGGAGUCUGCUUCUGAAAGUGUGGAAUGCAUAGAAUGGAGGGCUCUGCCUUUGAUUUUUCCACUGAGCCAGAAACAAGUGUGCAUACACAAGGACCUUGUUGUAUGGUCAAAGGUUUGAAGAGCUACCAGGAGUCCAAAGCAUACACUGCUGUGGCCAAGCUGGUGAGAUGCCACCAAGGAGCAACCUAUGGGAUCCAGGCCAGCAGGGAAUUGACCUGGCUACUGAGAAGCUGUAUCCCGCAAGCAAGGCAGUGAAUUCAUUAACCAGGUUCUUGCCAUGGGACCACCUUACACAGGGGGAAACUGCCUCCUAACAAGGACCUCUCAUUUAGGAAUGAAGCCCCCGGGCAUAGAAGACAGAUCCAUCUUAAGCAGAAUUCUGACUGA